RNAcentral lists this ribosomal RNA (467 nucleotides) under uncultured bacterium. RNAcentral describes it as "partial 16S ribosomal RNA". It matches the Rfam family "Bacterial small subunit ribosomal RNA", at positions 28 to 506 of the family's 1533-position model. The record is from RNAcentral.
GACGAACGCUGGCGGCGUGCUUAACACAUGCAAGUCGAACGGAAAGGCCCUGCUUUUGUGGGGUGCUCGAGUGGCGAACGGGUGAGUAACACGUGAGUAACCUGCCCUUGACUGUGGGAUAAAUUUAGGAAACUGGGGCUAAUACCGGAUAGGAGCUCCUGAUGCAUGGUGGGGGUUGGAAAGUUUCGGCGGUUGGGGUUGGACUCGCGGUGGAGCAGCUUGUUGAUGGGGUAGUGGCUUACCAAGGUUUUGACGGGUAGCCGGCCUGGGAGGGUGACGGGGCACGUUGGGACAGGGGUGGCGCCCAGACUGCUUCGGGAGGCAGGAGUGGGGAAUUUUGCCAGAUGGGCCGAAGGCGUAAGGAAGAACGCCGGGUGGGGGAAGUCGGGCUUUGGGUUGGAAAACGCUUUUGCCUGUGAAGGAGCGUGGGUGGCGGAAAUUGGUAAAGAAGCACCGGCUAACUAGGU